AUUUGGAACCCAAAUAAAUUUCCAAACUUGUCCAUGAAGUGUUGCGGAUUAGAAAUGGUCAUAUGGACCGGAUUACACUCCAUAGACUUACAAUAUGGUGUGGUAGGCAACCUUUGGAUAAUCAUAUCUUGGUCUAAUGUUUUACCCCAGGUUGCCCACCCCACACAAGACCAAUAUGGACAGAAAUUAAAAUCACUAUUUGGUCAAUCAGGAUCAGUAGAUCUUUUACUGGGACAUAAAUAUUUGUCAUUGAACCCAUAAGUUUGUUCCCACUUUAGAUUACCACAUACAUUCCAAGUUUUUCCACUACCCAAGAUCGCCUUACAUACAUCAAAUAGUAGAAUACCCGUAAAAUGUAUGGUAUUUAUCACCGUCCUAUUUAUCAAGGUCCCCUGAGAGUUGCUAUUCCGAAUUACCAACCAAAUUGUAUGGGGUUGGAAUUGGGGAUCAAAACAUUUAGGCUCUUCUACUGCUGGGUGACACACUGUAAUCAAUAUCUAAAUAUCUACAUUUAGAUACAGAUCCCUUACAUUCAUACUGUGAGUGCCAAAUAAGAGUUUG
Non-coding RNA from Pelobates cultripes (western spadefoot toad), 561 nucleotides. NCBI's taxonomy places the organism in Eukaryota, Metazoa, Chordata, Amphibia, Anura, Pelobatidae. The record is from the annotation of a GenBank genome assembly.